UACGGAGGAUCCAAGCGUUAUCCGGAUUUAUUGGGUUUAAAGGGUGCGUAGGCGGCCUAUUAAGUCAGGGGUGAAAGACGGUAGCUUAACUAUCGCAGUGCCUUUGAUACUGAUGGGCUUGAAUAUACUUGAGGUAGGCGGAAUGUGACAAGUAGCGGUGAAAUGCAUAGAUAUGUCACAGAACACCAAUUGCGAAGGCAGCUUACUAAAGUAUGAUUGACGCUGAGGCACGAAAGCGUGGGGAUCAAACAGG
Molecule: ribosomal RNA, 253 nt
Filed under: uncultured bacterium
Lineage: Bacteria
Description: partial 16S ribosomal RNA
Rfam family: Bacterial small subunit ribosomal RNA
Source: RNAcentral